AUUGAACGCUGGCGGCAUGCCUUACACAUGCAAGUCGAACGGCAGCACGGGAGCAAUCCUGGUGGCGAGUGGCGAACGGGUGAGUAAUAUAUCGGAACGUGCCGGUCGUGGGGAUAACGUAGCGAAGCUACGCUAAUACCGCAUACGAUCUACGGAUGAAAGCGGGGGAUCGCAAGACCUCGCGCGAUUGGAGCGGCCGAUAUCAGAUUAGGUAGUUGGUGAGGUAAAGGCUCACCAAGCCGACGAUCUGUAGCUGGUCUGAGAGGACGACCAGCCACACUGGGACUGAGACACGGCCCAGACUCCUACGGGAGGCAGCAGUGGGGAAUUUUGGACAAUGGGCGGCAAGACCUGAUCCAGCAAUGCCGCGUGCAGGAUGAA
Molecule: ribosomal RNA, 381 nt
Filed under: uncultured bacterium
Lineage: Bacteria
Description: bacterial SSU rRNA
Rfam family: Bacterial small subunit ribosomal RNA
Source: RNAcentral